UUGUCCAGGCAAAUCCGGAUAAUCAAGGCUGAGGUGUGAUGACGAGGCACUACGGUGCUGAAGUAACAAAUGCCCUGCUUCCAGGAAAAGCCUCUAAGCAUCAGGUAACAUUAAAUCGUACCCCAAACCGACACAGGUGGUCAGGUAGAGAAUACCAAGGCGCUUGAGAGAACUCGGGUGAAGGAACUAGGCAAAAUGGUGCCGUAACUUCGGGAGAAGGCACGCUGGUGUGUAGGUGA
This 239-nucleotide ribosomal RNA is filed under the name Klebsiella pneumoniae. RNAcentral's name for it is "partial 23S ribosomal RNA". It matches the Rfam family "Bacterial large subunit ribosomal RNA", at positions 1528 to 1765 of the family's 2925-position model. Lineage: Bacteria; Pseudomonadati; Pseudomonadota; Gammaproteobacteria; Enterobacterales; Enterobacteriaceae. The record is from RNAcentral.